This is a long non-coding RNA of Cuculus canorus (common cuckoo), 622 nucleotides long. RefSeq lists it as uncharacterized. Lineage: Eukaryota; Metazoa; Chordata; Aves; Cuculiformes; Cuculidae. The record is from RefSeq and is a predicted model, not a curated record. The transcript has 3 exons.
CUCUCCAUCCCCCCCAGGACCCUCCAGCCAAAGCCACCAUGAAGUCACCACGCUUGCGGGAGGGGUGAAGAAGGGCGAGUGAGGAAUAAUCUUUCAAUAUUGCAGGAACCAGCUGUACCUGGGCAGCGCGCAGGCAGCCACGAGCUUCUCUGCUCCUUCCCAUCUCCGAGAGUGACACAGGUAAACCUGGACCAGGCAGCUCCGGAAUGAUGGAUGUGACACACGUCUUCAUCACCCGCUAUUGAUGAUUGACGUGAGCCCUGGAGCAGGACAGCCUGGAACCCAGAGAUUAAUUUGCUUCAGCGCUUGCUUGGGCAAAAGCAGACAUGGUUAACCCUUUGUAGCCACAGGAUUGUGGAUGUGGAGGGAGUCACUCUUCCCUCGAGGCACAGGGCAGGAGAACGUGCCUGAAACCGCCCUUCUGUCUGGUAGUGGCAGUGCCUGGAAGAGCCCCAAAGGAUGAAGGUGUUUGAAAUCCAUGCCAGGAGCCAGAGCGCCCUCCGCAAGCGGCAGCUUGGAGCAAACUAGGACUGGAGGCAUAGAUUUAGAAGAUCCAGGCUUUUCCUCCUGGGACUCAACCGACCCUUUCAUCCAGCCCAUGGAAACAAGGAGCAAAUAUGGC